RNAcentral lists this ribosomal RNA (314 nucleotides) under uncultured eukaryote. RNAcentral describes it as "partial 18S ribosomal RNA". It matches the Rfam family "Eukaryotic small subunit ribosomal RNA", at positions 1470 to 1796 of the family's 1831-position model. The record is from RNAcentral.
CCCUUAGAUGUUCUGGGCCGCACGCGCGCUACAAUGGCAGACUCAGCGAGUUACCUCUGUCGAAAGGCACAGGGAAUCUUUACAGUAUCUGCCGUGAUGGGGAUAGACCCUUGUAAUUUUUGGUCUUCAACGAGGAAUUCCUAGUAAACGCAAGUCAUUAACUUGCAUUGAUUACGUCCCUGCCCUUUGUACACACCGCCCGUCGCACCUACCGAUUGAAUGGUCCGGUGAAGUCCUCGGACCCAGUUGAACCGCGAGUUGAACAGGGAAAGUUGACUAAAUCUUACCAUUUAGAGGAAGGUGAAGUCGUAACA